This 254-nucleotide ribosomal RNA is filed under the name uncultured bacterium. RNAcentral's name for it is "partial 16S ribosomal RNA". It matches the Rfam family "Bacterial small subunit ribosomal RNA", at positions 524 to 776 of the family's 1533-position model. The record is from RNAcentral.
CACGUAGGGGGCGAGCGUUGUCCGGAUUUAUUGGGCGUAAAGAGCUCGUAGGCGGCUCAGUAAGUCAGGUGUGAAAACUCCAGGCUCAACCUGGAGACGCCACCUGAUACUGCUGUGGCUAGAGUCCGGUAGGGGAGCAUGGAAUUCCUGGUGUAGCGGUGAAAUGCGUAGAUAUGUGGAGGAACACCGAUGGCGAAGGCAGCCCCCUGGGCUAACACUGACGCUCAUGCACGAAAGCGUGGGGAGCAAACAGG